RNAcentral lists this ribosomal RNA (626 nucleotides) under uncultured Ascomycota. RNAcentral's name for it is "eukaryotic LSU rRNA". The stretch from base 240 to 394 matches the Rfam family "5.8S ribosomal RNA". Lineage: Eukaryota; Fungi; Ascomycota. The record is from RNAcentral.
AAGUCGUAACAAGGUUUCCGUAGGUGAACCUGCGGAAGGAUCAUUAACGAGUUAGGGUCUCUCUGGCCCGACCUCCCAACCCUUUGUCUACUUGACCAUCGUUGUUUCGGCGAGCCCGUCCUCACGGACCGCCGGAGGGAUCUUUACUGGCCCUUUGGUCCGCGCUCGUCGGUAGCCCAACCUUUAAAAUCUUUAACUAAACGUGCCUUAAUCUAAGUACAAUUAUUAAAUAAAAGCAAAACUUUCAACAACGGAUCUCUUGGUUCCGGCAUCGAUGAAGAACGCAGCGAAAUGCGAUAAGUAAUGCGAAUUGCAGAAUUCCAGUGAGUCAUCGAAUCUUUGAACGCACAUUGCGCCCUUUGGUAUUCCGAAGGGCAUGCCUGUUCGAGCGUCAUUAUCACCCCUCAAGCCCUCGGCUUGGUGUUGGACGGUUUGGUGGAGGCCCCCUCGGGGGCUCCUGCCCCUCCCAAAGACAAUGACGGCGGCCUCGUUGGACCCCCGGUACACUGAGUUCUUCACGGGACACGUAUCGGACACAUGGGUUUACGGGACACGGUCUGCCUCCCCUCAGGGAGAAUCUUUCUAAGGUUGACCUCGGAUCAGGUAGGGAUACCCGCUGAACUUAA